GGGCGCAAGCCUGAUCCAGCCAUUCCGCGUGAGUGAAGAAGGCCUUCGGGUUGUAAAGCUCUUUCGCAAGGGAAGAAACGGUGCAGACGAAUAAUCUGUGCUAAUGACGGUACCUUGAUAAGAAGCACCGGCUAACUACGUGCCAGCAGCCGCGGUAAUACGUAGGGUGCGAGCGUUAAUCGGAAUUACUGGGCGUAAAGCGUGCGCAGGCGGUUUUGUAAGUCAGAUGUGAAAUCCCCGAGCUCAACUUGGGAACUGCGUUUGAAACUACAAGGCUAGAGUAUGGUAGAGGGGGGUAGAAUUCCACGUGUAGCAGUGAAAUGCGUAGAGAUGUGGAGGAAUACCAAUGGCGAAGGCAGCCCCCUGGACUAAUACUGACGCUCAUGCACGAAAGCGUGGGGAGCAAACAGGAUUAGAUACCCUGGUAGUCCACGCCCUAAACGAUGUCUACUAGUUGUUGGGAGAGUAAAAUCUCUUAGUAACG
Molecule: ribosomal RNA, 484 nt
Filed under: uncultured bacterium
Lineage: Bacteria
Description: bacterial SSU rRNA
Rfam family: Bacterial small subunit ribosomal RNA
Source: RNAcentral